CAACUACUCCCUCUGUACCAAAUUUCUUGUCUUAGAUUUGUCUAGAUACGGAUGUAUCUAAUACUAAAAUGUGACUUGAUACAUCCGUAUCUAGACAAAUCUAAGACAAGAAUUUUGGGACGGAGGGAGUACUUU
Molecule: non-coding RNA, 135 nt
Organism: Triticum aestivum (bread wheat)
Lineage: Eukaryota; Viridiplantae; Streptophyta; Magnoliopsida; Poales; Poaceae
Source: Rfam